UCGCCCUGUUUACCAAAAACAUCGCUCUUUGAAAAGAAAACUAAUACAUAAAGAGUCCUGCCUGCCCAGUGACAGUAGUUAAACGGCCGCGGUAUUUUGACCGUGCAAAGGUAGCAUAAUCAUUUGCCUUUUAAAUGGAGGCUGGUAUGAAUGGCAAGACGGGGGUUUAGCUGUCUCUCUUUUAGAAUCUUGAAUUUAUCAUCUUCGUGAAGAGGCGGAGAUAAGGUCGUAGGACGAGAAGACCCUAUCGAGCUUCAGCUAUUGAUUAGAGUUAUAAAAUUAUUAUUUUUAUGCUAAUUAAAAUAUAAAAUUAGUUUUACUUAAGGAUAAAAACUAAUUUCUAAUUAAAUGUUUUGGUUGGGGCAACCGCGGAGAAAACACAUCCUCCGCUUUAAGUUAAGAAAAAUUUAUUAUUUUAAAAGGUUUUUAACUAAGAAAUGAUCCACUAAAGAGUGAUCAAAGGAACAAGUUACCGUAGGGAUAACAGCGUAAUUUUUUUGGAGAGUUCAUAUUGAUAAAAAAGUUUGCGACCUCGAUGUUGGAUCGGGACUUCCUGGAGGUGCAGCAGCUUCCAAGGGU
RNAcentral lists this ribosomal RNA (579 nucleotides) under Astropecten africanus. RNAcentral describes it as "partial 16S ribosomal RNA". It matches the Rfam family "Bacterial large subunit ribosomal RNA", at positions 1796 to 2572 of the family's 2925-position model. Lineage: Eukaryota; Metazoa; Echinodermata; Asteroidea; Paxillosida; Astropectinidae. The record is from RNAcentral.